RNAcentral lists this microRNA precursor (64 nucleotides) under Sphenodon punctatus (tuatara). RNAcentral describes it as "Spt-Mir-7-P2_pre stem-loop". It matches the Rfam family "mir-7 microRNA precursor family", at positions 16 to 77 of the family's 91-position model. From Rfam's summary of the family: This family represents the microRNA (miRNA) precursor mir-7. In this case the mature sequence comes from the 5' arm of the precursor. The extents of the hairpin precursors are not generally known and are estimated based on hairpin prediction. Lineage: Eukaryota; Metazoa; Chordata; Lepidosauria; Sphenodontia; Sphenodontidae. The record is from RNAcentral.
UGGAAGACUAGUGAUUUUGUUGUUUUUAGAUAACUAAAUCGACAACAAAUUGCAGUCUGCCAUA